GAUGAACGCUGGCGGCGUGCCUAACACAUGCAAGUCGAACGGAACUUUUAUGGAUUGAGACUUCGGUUGAUUGAAGUUUAAGUUUAGUGGCGGACGGGUGAGUAACGCGUGAGUAACCUGCCUUUCACAGGGGGAUAACGUUUGGAAACGAACGCUAAUACCGCAUAACAUAGCGAGACCGCAUGAUCUUGCUAUCAAAGAUUUUAUCGGUGAAAGAUGGACUCGCGUCCGAUUAGAUGGUUGGUGAGGUAACGGCCCACCAAGUCGACGAUCGGUAGCCGGACUGAGAGGUCGAACGGCCACAUUGGAACUGAGAAACGGUCCAGACUCCUACGGGAGCAGCAGUGGGGAAUAUUGGGCAAUGGGCGAAAGCCUGACCCAGCGACGCCGCGUGAGGGAAGAAGGUCUUCGGAUUGUAAACCUUAGUCAACAGGGAAGAAGCAAGUGACGGUACCUGUGGAGGAAGCCACGGCUAACUACGUG
This 483-nucleotide ribosomal RNA is filed under the name uncultured bacterium. RNAcentral's name for it is "bacterial SSU rRNA". It matches the Rfam family "Bacterial small subunit ribosomal RNA", at positions 28 to 507 of the family's 1533-position model. The record is from RNAcentral.